RNAcentral lists this ribosomal RNA (1370 nucleotides) under uncultured bacterium. Its description in RNAcentral is "bacterial SSU rRNA". It matches the Rfam family "Bacterial small subunit ribosomal RNA". The record is from RNAcentral.
AGAGUUUGAUCCUGGCUCAGGACGAACGCUGGCGGCGCGCCUAACACAUGCAAGUCGAACGAGCGAGAGAGAGCUUGCUUUCUCGAGCGAGUGGCGAACGGGUGAGUAACGCGUGAGGAACCUGCCUCAAAGAGGGGGACAACAGUUGGAAACGACUGCUAAUACCGCAUAAGCCCACGGCUCGGCAUCGAGCAGAGGGAAAAGGAGCAAUCCGCUUUGAGAUGGCCUCGCGUCCGAUUAGCUAGUUGGUGAGGUAACGGCCCACCAAGGCGACGAUCGGUAGCCGGACUGAGAGGUUGAACGGCCACAUUGGGACUGAGACACGGCCCAGACUCCUACGGGAGGCAGCAGUGGGGAAUAUUGCACAAUGGGGGAAACCCUGAUGCAGCGACGCCGCGUGGAGGAAGAAGGUCUUCGGAUUGUAAACUCCUGUUGUUGAGGAAGAUAAUGACGGUACUCAACAAGGAAGUGACGGCUAACUACGUGCCAGCAGCCGCGGUAAAACGUAGGUCACAAGCGUUGUCCGGAAUUACUGGGUGUAAAGGGAGCGCAGGCGGGAAGACAAGUUGGAAGUGAAAUCCAUGGGCUCAACCCAUGAACUGCUUUCAAAACUGUUUUUCUUGAGUAGUGCAGAGGUAGGCGGAAUUCCCGGUGUAGCGGUGGAAUGCGUAGAUAUCGGGAGGAACACCAGUGGCGAAGGCGGCCUACUGGGCACCAACUGACGCUGAGGCUCGAAAGUGUGGGUAGCAAACAGGAUUAGAUACCCUGGUAGUCCACACUGUAAACGAUGAUUACUAGGUGUUGGAGGAUUGACCCCUUCAGUGCCGCAGUUAACACAAUAAGUAAUCCACCUGGGGAGUACGACCGCAAGGUUGAAACUCAAAGGAAUUGACGGGGGCCCGCACAAGCAGUGGAGUAUGUGGUUUAAUUCGACGCAACGCGAAGAACCUUACCAAGUCUUGACAUCCUGCGACGGUGCUGGAAACAGUACUUUCCUUCGGGACGCAGAGACAGGUGGUGCAUGGUUGUCGUCAGCUCGUGUCGUGAGAUGUUGGGUUAAGUCCCGCAACGAGCGCAACCCUUAUGGUCAGUUACUACGUAAGAGGACUCUGGCCAGACUGCCGUUGACAAAACGGAGGAAGGUGGGGAUGACGUCAAAUCAUCAUGCCCUUUAUGACUUGGGCUACACACGUACUACAAUGGCGUUAAACAAAGAGAAGCAAGACCGCGAGGUGGAGCAAAACUCAGAAACAACGUCCCAGUUCGGACUGCAGGCUGCAACUCGCCUGCACGAAGUCGGAAUUGCUAGUAAUCGCAGAUCAGCAUGCUGCGGUGAAUACGUUCCCGGGCCUUGCACUCACCGCCCGUCA